Molecule: long non-coding RNA, 279 nt
Filed under: Hordeum vulgare
Lineage: Eukaryota; Viridiplantae; Streptophyta; Magnoliopsida; Poales; Poaceae
Description: long non-coding RNA (HVUL_LNC008677)
Source: RNAcentral
GAGAUGGCAGGAGUGCGUAACGGCACUAGCGCAUGCAGGCGCGACGUGCGCAUGCGGGGCGACGUGCGCGGGCGCAUCUCCUCCCGCUAGACCCGGUCAGGUUGCGGGCGUGGACGUCUUCCAACAGCCCCCCGCAGUCGAAACGGGGUCGGCGACGACGUUGAGGCUGGACCGGAACUCGAUGAAGACGCUCGUGGGCAACCCCUUGGUGAAGAUGUCGGCGAACUGCGACGUAGUGGGGACAUGGAGAACGCGGACAUCUCCAAAGGCGACGCGGUC